GCUGAAAAGGNCAGUCGAGCGAGCUUGCCUAGAUGAUUUUAGUGCUUGCACUAAAUGAAACUAGAUACAAGCGAGCGCCUUACGGGUGAGUAACACGUGGGUAACCUGCCCAAGAGACUGGGAUAACACCUGGAAACAGAUGCUAAUACCGGAUAACAACACUAGACGCAUGUCUAGAGUUUGAAAGAUGGUUCUGCUAUCACUCUUGGAUGGACCUGCGGUGCAUUAGCUAGUUGGUAAGGUAACGGCUUACCAAGGCAAUGAUGCAUAGCCGAGUUGAGAGACUGAUCGGCCACAUUGGGACUGAGACACGGCCCAAACUCCUACGGGAGGCAGCAGUAGGGAAUCUUCCACAAUGGACGAAAGUCUGAUGGAGCAACGCCGCGUGAGUGAAGAAGGGUUUCGGCUCGUAAAGCUCUGUUGGUAGUGAAGAAAGAUAGAGGUAGUAACUGGCCUUUAUUUGACGGUAAUUACUUAGAAAGUCACGGCUAACUACGUGCCAGCAGCCGCGGUAAUACGUAGGUGGCAAGCGUUGUCCGGAUUUAUUGGGCGUAAAGCGAGUGCAGGCGGUUCAAUAAGUCUGAUGUGAAAGCCUUCGGCUCAACCGGAGAACUGCAUCAGAAACUGUUGAACUUGAGUGCAGAAGAGGAGAGUGGAACUCCAUGUGUAGCGGUGGAAUGCGUAGAUAUAUGGAAGAACACCAGUGGCGAAGGCGGCUCUCUGGUCUGCAACUGACGCUGAGGCUCGAAA
This 750-nucleotide ribosomal RNA is filed under the name uncultured bacterium. RNAcentral describes it as "bacterial SSU rRNA". It matches the Rfam family "Bacterial small subunit ribosomal RNA", at positions 46 to 758 of the family's 1533-position model. The record is from RNAcentral.